AUUGAACGCUGGCGGCAGGCCUAACACAUGCAAGUCGAACGGUAACAGGAAGCAGCUUGCUGCUUUGCUGACGAGUGGCGGACGGGUGAGUAAUGUCUGGGAAACUGCCCGAUGGAGGGGGAUAACUACUGGAAACGGUAGCUAAUACCGCAUAACGUCGCAAGACCAAAGAGGGGGACCUUAGGGCCUCUUGCCAUCGGAUGUGCCCAGAUGGGAUUAGCUAGUAGGUGGGGUAACGGCUCACCUAGGCGACGAUCCCUAGCUGGUCUGAGAGGAUGACCAGCCACACGGAAACUGAGACACGGUCCAGACUCCUACGGGAGGCAGCGGUGGGGAAUAUUGCACAAUGGGCGCAAGCCUGAUGCAGCCAUGCCGCGUGAAUGAAGAAGGCCUUCGGGUUGUAAGUACUUUCAGCGGGGAGGAAGGGAGUAAAGUUAAUACCUUUGCUCAUUGACGUUACCCGCAGAAGAAGCACCGGCUAACUCCGUG
RNAcentral lists this ribosomal RNA (489 nucleotides) under uncultured bacterium. Its description in RNAcentral is "partial 16S ribosomal RNA". It matches the Rfam family "Bacterial small subunit ribosomal RNA", at positions 30 to 507 of the family's 1533-position model. The record is from RNAcentral.